CCUACCGGAGGCAGCAGUGGGGAAUAUUGGACAAGGGGGGCAAGCCGGAUCCAGCCAUGCCGUGUGGGUGAAGAAGGCCUUCGGGUGUAAAGCCCUACGUCGGGGAAGAAGGAGAAGCCGUUAAUAACGUGAAAGAGACGGACCCGAAGAAAAGCACCGGCUAUUUUUG
RNAcentral lists this ribosomal RNA (169 nucleotides) under uncultured bacterium. RNAcentral's name for it is "partial 16S ribosomal RNA". It matches the Rfam family "Bacterial small subunit ribosomal RNA", at positions 338 to 505 of the family's 1533-position model. The record is from RNAcentral.